This 139-nucleotide ribosomal RNA is filed under the name uncultured eukaryote. RNAcentral describes it as "partial 18S ribosomal RNA". It matches the Rfam family "Eukaryotic small subunit ribosomal RNA", at positions 1299 to 1458 of the family's 1831-position model. The record is from RNAcentral.
UGGUGGAGUGAUUUGUCUGGUUAAUUCCGUUAACGAACGAGACCCCCGCCUGCUAAAUAGUCACAUUAAUGCCUAGCAUUAUUGUUGGCUUCUUAGAGGGACUUUCGGUGACUAACCGAAGGAAGUUGGGGCAAUAACA